UGCGUAGGCGGAAUAUUAAGUCAGUGGUGAAAUCCUGCGGCUCAACCGUAGAACUGCCAUUGAUACUGAUAUUCUUGAAUGUAGUUGAGGUAGGCGGAAUGUGUAAUGUAGCGGUGAAAUGCUUAGAUAUUACACAGAACACCGAUUGCGAAGGCAGCUUACUAAACUAUGAUUGACGCUGAGGUACGAAAGCGUGGGGAGCAAACAGGAUUAGAUACCCUGGUAGUCC
RNAcentral lists this ribosomal RNA (229 nucleotides) under uncultured bacterium. Its description in RNAcentral is "partial 16S ribosomal RNA". It matches the Rfam family "Bacterial small subunit ribosomal RNA", at positions 568 to 796 of the family's 1533-position model. The record is from RNAcentral.